This 524-nucleotide ribosomal RNA is filed under the name uncultured beta proteobacterium. Its description in RNAcentral is "bacterial SSU rRNA". It matches the Rfam family "Bacterial small subunit ribosomal RNA", at positions 8 to 527 of the family's 1533-position model. The record is from RNAcentral. Lineage: Bacteria; Pseudomonadati; Pseudomonadota; Betaproteobacteria.
AGGGUUUGAUCAUGGCUCAGAUUGAACGCUGGCGGCAUGCCUUACACAUGCAAGUCGAACGGUAACGCGGGGCAACCUGGCGACGAGUGGCGAACGGGUGAGUAAUAUAUCGGAACGUGCCCAGUCGUGGGGGAUAACGUAGAGAAAUUUACGCUAAUACCGCAUACGAUCUAAGGAUGAAAGCGGGGGACUCGCAAGGGCCUCGCGCGAUUGGAGCGGCUGAUACCAGAUUAGGUUGUUGGUGAGGUAAAAGCUCACCAAGCCGACGAUCUGUAGCUGGUUUGAGAGAACGACCAGCCACACUGGGACUGAGACACGGCCCAGACUCCUACGGGAGGCAGCAGUGGGGAAUUUUGGACAAUGGGCGAAAGCCUGAUCCAGCAAUGCCGCGUGCAGGAAGAAGGCCUUCGGGUUGUAAACUGCUUUUGUACGGAACGAAACGGUCUGCCCUAAUACGGUGGGCUAAUGACGGUACCGUAAGAAUAAGCACCGGCUAACUACGUGCCAGCCGCCGCGGUAAUACA